AUUGUGCCCCCUUUGUGUCCCAUUGUGCCCCAUUGAUGGCCAUGCCCCCAUUGUGUCCCAUUGUGUCCCAUUGAUGGUUAUGUCCCUCCCCAUUGUGUCCCAUUGUGCCCCAUUGAUGGCCAUGCCCCCAUUGUGUCCCUACUGUGCCCCCAUUGUGCCCCAUUGUGUCCCAUUGUGCCCCCACUGUCCCAUUGUGUCCCAUUAUGCCCCAUUGAUGGCUAUGCCCCCAUUGUGUUCCCACUGUGCCCCCGUUGUGCCCCAUUGUGUCCCAGUUGUGUCCCCAUUGUGUCCCAUUGUCCCCCACUGUGCCACCAUUGUGCCCCAUUG
This 327-nucleotide long non-coding RNA is filed under the name Phasianus colchicus (ring-necked pheasant). Its description in RNAcentral is "lncRNA (ENSPCLG00000013249.1)". The record is from RNAcentral. Lineage: Eukaryota; Metazoa; Chordata; Aves; Galliformes; Phasianidae.